AAGUCGUAUCAAGGUUUCCGUAGGUGAACCUGCGGAAGGAUCAUUUCCGAACAAAACAUCCCAUAUCAACCAACCAUGUGAAAUGUUUUGGGUGACCUUUACUGGAGGGAUAGCUGGAGUUGUUAUGCGUGCGCCGCCUUUCGGGGUGUGUGUGUGUGUAUAGCUCAUCUCCAAAUUUUUUUUAUCCCUCCAGGCCUUGAUGAACUACCUUGUAACAAAGGUUGAUUUUAUAUCGUCUUUUCAAACUUUUAGAAAAGUAAAUGAUAUGACAACUUUUAACGGUGGAUCUCUUGGCUCGU
This 299-nucleotide unclassified non-coding RNA is filed under the name fungal sp. RNAcentral describes it as "partial internal transcribed spacer region". The stretch from base 1 to 46 matches the Rfam family "Eukaryotic small subunit ribosomal RNA", at positions 1786 to 1831 of the family's 1831-position model. Lineage: Eukaryota; Fungi. The record is from RNAcentral.